CGGCUACGGAGCUGGGAACUGUGG
This 24-nucleotide non-coding RNA is filed under the name Cricetulus griseus (Chinese hamster). The record is from RNAcentral. Lineage: Eukaryota; Metazoa; Chordata; Mammalia; Rodentia; Cricetidae.